AUCCAUCUGACGAGUCCCAAACAGGGCGAAAAGCGCGUCGUAGAA
Schistosoma mattheei is the source of this 45-nucleotide non-coding RNA. Lineage: Eukaryota; Metazoa; Platyhelminthes; Trematoda; Strigeidida; Schistosomatidae. The record is from Rfam.